AUGGCCGGCGCCGCGGAAGGGGAGGCUCGUCCCCUCGUCGUCGUCGGAAGGGGAGCGCGCCGGUCAGCCAAGGUUUCUGCCGCGGCCGCGGAAGGGGAGACUCGUCCCCUCGUCGGAGCCAAGGUGAUGGGGCCUCGCCUCAGCCUCAGCCUUUCUCCGGAUGCUCUGGACCUGAUUGCGAGGAGGGAGGCCUUGCUCUCGGAGUGGGCCGCGUCGGAGCCCUCGGCCUCGCCGUCGCUCCCUGAAGCUUCAGCGUCGCCCUGGUCCCUCAUCUUGUCCCGUUGCCUACCAUCAUCCCUACAGCCACAGCCUGAGCCUGAGCCAUUCGACAGGGUCGAACACAACUGGAACAGUUCUAUGAUGAUGAUGAUGAUGCCGAGCCCCUCUGAGGUAGCAGCAGCUCAAGAUCAUCAACUUGUCAUGGAAUGCCUUCGCCACUAUAACUUAAAUCAUCCGGAAAAUGAGUACGUACCUGCCCCUGGCAAGGUGACCAGAUACAGCAGUCCUCACAAUGGUUCUUGCUGGACUCAUGGCAACUUCGUCGCUAGCCCCAAGCACUCCGGCUACUUCUCCUUACUGCCCCCUAGACCAACUCUCUUAUUUUAUGAGCUUGUUACCAAAGAUGGUUUUGAAGGAGUUGUCUCGUGCACCCCGCUAGAUGAGCCAGUUACCGAAGCCUACAGUUUGUUUGGCCUUCAUCUUGGGUGGGGAACUCGUCGUGAUGGCAGUUCGGAUUGCCUUUGCAAUACAUGCAACCGUCUUGUUGAUAGCGAGGUUCCUUCUGUGGGGAAUGCAUUUCCGUGUGGACAUUACAAGGCAGAGCGUGUUUGUCAGAUGUGCUAUCUUCAGUCUGAAGUGCUGCAUCCAUCGCCAGAGAAAUUUGCGUUUGGAAAAUGA
Molecule: ribosomal RNA, 897 nt
Filed under: Triticum aestivum (bread wheat)
Lineage: Eukaryota; Viridiplantae; Streptophyta; Magnoliopsida; Poales; Poaceae
Description: partial small subunit ribosomal RNA
Source: RNAcentral